RNAcentral lists this transfer RNA (70 nucleotides) under Lachnospiraceae bacterium. RNAcentral's name for it is "tRNA-Cys". It matches the Rfam family "tRNA". Rfam says of the family: Transfer RNA (tRNA) molecules are approximately 80 nucleotides in length. Their secondary structure includes four short double-helical elements and three loops (D, anti-codon, and T loops). The record is from RNAcentral. Lineage: Bacteria; Bacillati; Bacillota; Clostridia; Lachnospirales; Lachnospiraceae. RNAcentral also lists the same sequence under 1 other name.
GGCGCCAUGGCCGCUGGCAGGGCAUAAGCUUGCAAAGCUGAAGUUGGCGGUUCGAAUCCGCCUGGUGCCG